This 497-nucleotide ribosomal RNA is filed under the name uncultured bacterium. RNAcentral's name for it is "partial 16S ribosomal RNA". It matches the Rfam family "Bacterial small subunit ribosomal RNA", at positions 28 to 507 of the family's 1533-position model. The record is from RNAcentral.
GAUGAACGCUGGCGGCGUGCCUAAUACAUGCAAGUCGAGCGAACAGACGAGGAGCUUGCUCCUCUGACGUUAGCGGCGGACGGGUGAGUAACACGUGGAUAACCUACCUAUAAGACUGGGAUAACUUCGGGAAACCGGAGCUAAUACCGGAUAAUAUAUUGAACCGCAUGGUUCAAUAGUGAAAGACGGUUUUGCUGUCACUUAUAGAUGGAUCCGCGCCGCAUUAGCUAGUUGGUAAGGUAACGGCUUACCAAGGCAACGAUGCGUAGCCGACCUGAGAGGGUGAUCGGCCACACUGGAACUGAGACACGGUCAAGACGCCUACGGGAGGCAGCAGUAGGGAAUCUUACGCAAUGGGCGAAAGCAUGACGGAGCAACGCCGCGUGAGUGAUGAAGGUCUUCGGAUCGUAAAACUCUGUUAUUAGGGAAGAACAAAUGUGUAAGUAACUAUGCACGUCUUGACGGUACCUAAUCAGAAAGCCACGGCUAACUACGUG